This 387-nucleotide ribosomal RNA is filed under the name Salmonella enterica. RNAcentral describes it as "bacterial SSU rRNA". It matches the Rfam family "Bacterial small subunit ribosomal RNA", at positions 1129 to 1515 of the family's 1533-position model. RNAcentral also lists the same sequence under 1 other name. Lineage: Bacteria; Pseudomonadati; Pseudomonadota; Gammaproteobacteria; Enterobacterales; Enterobacteriaceae. The record is from RNAcentral.
GGUCGGGAACUCAAAGGAGACUGCCAGUGAUAAACUGGAGGAAGGUGGGGAUGACGUCAAGUCAUCAUGGCCCUUACGACCAGGGCUACACACGUGCUACAAUGGCGCAUACAAAGAGAAGCGACCUCGCGAGAGCAAGCGGACCUCAUAAAGUGCGUCGUAGUCCGGAUUGGAGUCUGCAACUCGACUCCAUGAAGUCGGAAUCGCUAGUAAUCGUGGAUCAGAAUGCCACGGUGAAUACGUUCCCGGGCCUUGUACACACCGCCCGUCACACCAUGGGAGUGGGUUGCAAAAGAAGUAGGUAGCUUAACCUUCGGGAGGGCGCUUACCACUUUGUGAUUCAUGACUGGGGUGAAGUCGUAACAAGGUAACCGUAGGGGAACCUGC